RNAcentral lists this ribosomal RNA (253 nucleotides) under uncultured bacterium. RNAcentral's name for it is "partial 16S ribosomal RNA". It matches the Rfam family "Bacterial small subunit ribosomal RNA", at positions 524 to 776 of the family's 1533-position model. The record is from RNAcentral.
CACGUAGGGCGCAAGCGUUGUUCGGAAUUACUGGGCGUAAAGGGCUCGUAGGCGGCCAACUAAGUCAGACGUGAAAUCCCUCGGCUUAACCGGGGAACUGCGUCUGAUACUGGAUGGCUUGAGUUUGGGAGAGGGAUGCGGAAUUCCAGGUGUAGCGGUGAAAUGCGUAGAUAUCUGGAGGAACACCGGUGGCGAAGGCGGCAUCCUGGACCAACACUGACGCUGAGGAGCGAAAGCCAGGGGAGCAAACGGG